RNAcentral lists this long non-coding RNA (213 nucleotides) under Gossypium barbadense (sea-island cotton). Its description in RNAcentral is "long non-coding RNA (GBAR_LNC017085)". Lineage: Eukaryota; Viridiplantae; Streptophyta; Magnoliopsida; Malvales; Malvaceae. The record is from RNAcentral.
AGAGAGAUUCUAAUCCACUCCACUACAACUUUAGGGAGAUGGGAUUUGUUUAUUUAAUCUGCCCCACUGCAAUUUUAGAGGGAUAAGACUUGAUUUCUUGAGUCUGCUCCACUGCAACUUCAGGGAGAUAAGACUCGCAUUCUUGGGUCUGCUCCACUGCAACUUCAGGGAGAUAAGACCCGAUGCGAUCUGCUCUCUGCAACUUCAGAGAGA